GCUGGCGGCAGGCCUAACACAAGCACGUCGAGCGCAUCCUUCGGGGUGAGCGGCGGACGGGUGAGUAUCGCGUGGGAACGUGCCCUUCUCUACGGAAUAGUCUCGGGAAACUGGGGGUAAUACCGUAUACGCCCUUUUGGGGAAAGAUUUAUCGGAGAAGGAUCGGCCCGCGUUGGAUUAGGUAGUUGGUGGGGUAAUGGCUCACCAAGCCGACGAUCCAUAGCUGGUUUGAGAGGAUGAUCAGCCACACUGGGACUGAGACACGGCCCAGACUCCUACGGGAGGCAGCAGUGGGGAAUCUUAGACAAUGGGGGCAACCCUGAUCUAGCCAUGCCGCGUGAGUGAUGAAGGCCCUAGGGUUGUAAAGCUCUUUCAGCUGUGAAGAUAAUGACGGUAGCAGCAGAAGAAGUCCCGGCUAACUCCGUGCCAGCAGCCGCGGUAAUACGGAGGGGACUAGCGUUGUUCGGAAUUACUGGGCGUAAAGCGCACGUAGGCGGACCAGCAAGUUAGGGGUGAAAUCCCGGGGCUCAACCCCGGAACUGCCUUUAAAACUGUUGGUCUUCGAUUCGAGAGAGGUGAGUGGAAUCC
This 588-nucleotide ribosomal RNA is filed under the name uncultured bacterium. RNAcentral's name for it is "bacterial SSU rRNA". It matches the Rfam family "Bacterial small subunit ribosomal RNA", at positions 35 to 669 of the family's 1533-position model. The record is from RNAcentral.